This 253-nucleotide ribosomal RNA is filed under the name uncultured bacterium. RNAcentral's name for it is "partial 16S ribosomal RNA". It matches the Rfam family "Bacterial small subunit ribosomal RNA", at positions 524 to 776 of the family's 1533-position model. The record is from RNAcentral.
UACGAAGGGGGCAAGCGUUGUUCGGAAUUACUGGGCGUAAAGGGCGCGUAGGCGGCUUAUCAAGUCAGGCGUGAAAUUCCCGGGCUCAACCUGGGGGCUGCGCUUGAUACUGAUGAGCUUGAAUGCGGGAGAGGAUAGUGGAAUUCCCAGUGUAGAGGUGAAAUUCGUAGAUAUUCGGAAGAACACCAGUGGCGAAGGCGACUAACUGGACAUGUAUUGACGCUGAGGUGCGAAAGCGUGGGGAGCAAACAGG